Molecule: ribosomal RNA, 460 nt
Filed under: Nocardiaceae bacterium 'ARUP UnID 479'
Lineage: Bacteria; Bacillati; Actinomycetota; Actinomycetes; Mycobacteriales; Nocardiaceae
Description: bacterial SSU rRNA
Rfam family: Bacterial small subunit ribosomal RNA
Source: RNAcentral
GGACGAACGCUGGCGGCGUGCUUAACACAUGCAAGUCGAGCGGUAAGGCCCUUCGGGGUACACGAGCGGCGAACGGGUGAGUAACACGUGGGUGAUCUGCCUCGCACUCUGGGAUAAGCCUGGGAAACUGGGUCUAAUACCGGAUACGACCWMKGGSUGCAUGSUYKKUGGUGGAAAGAUUUAUUGGUGCGAGAUGGGCCCGCGGCCUAUCAGCUUGUUGGUGGGGUAACGGCCUACCAAGGCGACGACGGGUAGCCGACCUGAGAGGGUGAUCGGCCACACUGGGACUGAGACACGGCCCAGACUCCUACGGGAGGCAGCAGUGGGGAAUAUUGCACAAUGGGCGGAAGCCUGAUGCAGCGACGCCGCGUGAGGGAUGACGGCCUUCGGGUUGUAAACCUCUUUCGACAGGGACGAAGCGCAAGUGACGGUACCUGUAGAAGAAGCACCGGCCAACUAC